CCAACAGGCUAUGGGGCAUUUAUUCCGUGCCUUUAUGGUUAACCUAUAGACAUGGUGGCAACAUGAAGCAAACUACUUGGAAAAGAGAAUUGAGAGCGUAGAGAGACUAGACAGAGGCAGAAGGAACCUUUGGUACUUUUGUAAAACAGCAAGAGACAAACGUUGUGGGAAUGUUGAGUCUUGGCAGGGGAUGGAGUGCUUCCUGCAGGAGAGCAGAUAUGGAGUCAAGGAUUUCUGAUGAUUAGUUUGACAGAGAUCCAGGAAUUGUCCAGGCUGCAUAUUCUGACUUCUCAGCUAUGAAGCAAGAGGUUGGUUGCACUGGACUUUGAGUAUGUAAUGUACAGUGCACCCAUAGAAGCAUGUGCUGUGGAAGAAAAAACGGGAAGCACUCUAAGAGAUUAAAGAAUAUUACUAAACUACCAAA
This is a non-coding RNA of Peromyscus maniculatus bairdii (prairie deer mouse), 424 nucleotides long. Lineage: Eukaryota; Metazoa; Chordata; Mammalia; Rodentia; Cricetidae. The record is from RefSeq and is a predicted model, not a curated record.